UUGUGAAGUCAGAGAGCUGUCGGCCAGGCAACAUCUCUAAGUGGGGAUGGAGGCAGCCAUCUGCUGGUUGUAAUUUUGGGGCAAAAGAACAGAUAGCUACACUGUCCCCAAAAUAUCACACGCAUGGAAGGAUGUUGGAAAUUAAUGUUGGUAAAAAGAAAGUAUAUGAAAAUGUCUUUAUAAAUUAUAACAUGCUAUAUAAGUGGCAUUACAGUGAUCAAAGGUAAAGCAACACAUAUUAUAAGGAUAAGAUAAAAUUUGAUUACAUAAGCACCUUAGCAGGCCUUAGGACAUAAGAGGCUUCAUCCAUUUCUUCCUCCUUCCUGAGUGCCUGCAGGAGAUGAAUGAGACACAGUUUCCGCUCCCACAGAGCUUGCAAUCUUUUAGGGGCAACCGGGUACUUACGCAUGACGCCAGGCAGACAGUGAUGAGUGCCAUGAGAGCAACGGCUGCCUCCUAUAGGGACAGAAAACACUUUCUCUCUACUCUCUGAGUUUUCAUAAUUGACUCCAGGACAGUAGGCAGAUGAACAGGAGAAAAAAACAUGCACAUUUAUUACACGGAUGGGAGCAGCACGAGAAACAAAAGGUGGACACCAUGACAAAAUGCUCAGACUGACUUAAACAAAAGUGGGAGGCUACCGUUUCACACAAGUCAGAUGUGCAGUUGAGUAUGGCCUGACCGAGAGAAGGAAUUGUGUCAGCAGGAUUCUUUUCUCCACAGUGCUGCUUCUAGCUUGGUUCCCCUGCCAGGUGUUUAUGGCAGCAUCUCCUGACUUCAACUCCCAGAAUCUCUGGGAUUCCCCAUCCUGGUUUCAAGAUGCUGCAGAGGAAGCCCACUGCAAGCUUCACGUCUUUGGAGCAGCGAAUUCAAUAAAGAGUGCAGGACCCUAUUUCCCAGAGCCUCAGCUAAGUCUUCAUGUCCUCUUGGCUUCACUUGGGUUAAAUUCCCAACCCUAACACAGUCAUGUGGCAAAGGAGAUGGGAAACGGUCAUUGGCUUGAGCCAAUGUGAACUCACUCUUGUCCCAUGAAGGAAGGCACUAGUCAUAUCUCUUUAUGCUCCAAAAUUUAGCCCAGUGCUCUCAGUAAAUGACUCUUUUUUAUGUUAUGAAAGAAAACCAAGAAGGGUUGGUUUGGUGGGAAGAUGAACUCAGAGCUUUGGUAGGGAAGGAGUGAGACCCCAAGGCUUAGGUUGGGGACAAUAGGUAGAUGCAAUCGAGAGCUCUCACUGUAAUAUUCUCUGGAAUCCUUGAACUUCAGAAGUGGCCCACAUGGCCUAAUUGGAAGAUAGUGGGCCCUUCUUACUUGAAGACCAGAUAGUGAGACAGUGCCUUAUAAGACAACAUCUGUCUUCCUCAGGAUCUGCUCUACCUCCACUCCCAGCCACAAAAUUCAUAAUUAAGGUCAGAUGUCAGCACAACCUAACAGGGAAAGCAGAGCCUGCUAAGGGAGAAGAGGGAUUCUACACCCAAGCAGCUCAGAACCUGGCUGAUGUGUACUGGCAAGAACUGAAUUAGCUACCUGGCAAGGGUCCCAGGAUGUGGGUCUCAUACACCGCUUGGAUAAGUCCUGGAAACUUGCAGAAAGUGUUGGCCUACAAAAAAAUGAAGUAAAGAUGGCAGAACUACCAGCACUGACUGUGGAGAAAAGAAUCAAGAGGCUUGGAGAAGUGGACAUGCUAGAAUAGUUCUCCCACGGGAGGUCAGUUGACCAUGCUCCUGGGGAGAACACUGCAUGGAUGCAGGUGAUAAGGAAUGCACUGGUGAGUUUGGAGUCCUAAUUAGGGAAAAGGAGUCAAGAUGGUUGGGACCAGGGUAAAGCAAAAAAACAGAUAAGCUGUAAGUUUGCCUUUCUUCAUGGUCCAGGACACAGAGCCAUCCUGUGCAAAUAACUCACCAUCUUCCUGCGCCCAGCUAUCACCAGACACUCGGCUGAUAGAAAAAUGCAAGUUAGCUCACUGCGACCUUGGCAUUAUCAGUACCGCACAAAGCCCUCUUCAGCACACAGCACAAGCACCAUCCUAUAAAAUCUCCAGCAAGCUUUUGUCUCCUUGCAGUCAGCUCCUCUCUUGCUGACUUGCCCAUUGCUUUCCUGAAAUACAUUUUCCUACUUUUUCCAAUAAAUCUGCCUUUCUUUACCUAAAACUAUCUUGAUAAAUUCUUUUUACCAUCUGUGCCACCAGCCCUAGGCAGUUGCUACCCAUGACAGUGAGGAUACCAGCACACUGAGAAACUCAGUGGCAGCUGUCUUCUGUAGGUUGGGGCUGACAAGAGAUGACACUACAGAACUGAUCACACAGUAGCAGAGGCCAGCAGCACUUAAUCGUCAGAAGCUAGAUGGCAUAAUAAGGACAGUAAAUCUGGAAUGACAGUCA
Molecule: long non-coding RNA, 2375 nt
Filed under: Homo sapiens (human)
Lineage: Eukaryota; Metazoa; Chordata; Mammalia; Primates; Hominidae
Description: HSALNT0323955
Source: RNAcentral